RNAcentral lists this ribosomal RNA (229 nucleotides) under uncultured bacterium. RNAcentral describes it as "partial 16S ribosomal RNA". It matches the Rfam family "Bacterial small subunit ribosomal RNA", at positions 104 to 334 of the family's 1533-position model. The record is from RNAcentral.
CGGGGUGAGUAAUGUCUGGGAAACUGCCUGAUGAGGGGGAUAACUGCUGGAAACGGUAGCUAAUACCGCAUAACGUCGCAAGACCAAAGAGGGGGACCUUCGGGCCUCCUUGCCAUCGGAUGUGCCCAGAUGGGAUUAGCUAGUAGGUGGGGUAACGGCUCACCUAGGCGACGAUCCCUAGCUGGUCUGAGAGGAUGACCAGCCACACUGGAACUGAGACACGGUCCAG